RNAcentral lists this ribosomal RNA (1096 nucleotides) under Vibrio parahaemolyticus. Its description in RNAcentral is "bacterial SSU rRNA". It matches the Rfam family "Bacterial small subunit ribosomal RNA", at positions 1 to 1079 of the family's 1533-position model. Lineage: Bacteria; Pseudomonadati; Pseudomonadota; Gammaproteobacteria; Vibrionales; Vibrionaceae. The record is from RNAcentral.
AAAUUGAAGAGUUUGAUCAUGGCUCAGAUUGAACGCUGGCGGCAGGCCUAACACAUGCAAGUCGAGCGGAAACGAGUUAUCUGAACCUUCGGGGGACGAUAACGGCGUCGAGCGGCGGACGGGUGAGUAAUGCCUAGGAAAUUGCCCUGAUGUGGGGGAUAACCAUUGGAAACGAUGGCUAAUACCGCAUGAUGCCUACGGGCCAAAGAGGGGGACCUUCGGGCCUCUCGCGUCAGGAUAUGCCUAGGUGGGAUUAGCUAGUUGGUGAGGUAAGGGCUCACCAAGGCGACGAUCCCUAGCUGGUCUGAGAGGAUGAUCAGCCACACUGGAACUGAGACACGGUCCAGACUCCUACGGGAGGCAGCAGUGGGGAAUAUUGCACAAUGGGCGCAAGCCUGAUGCAGCCAUGCCGCGUGUGUGAAGAAGGCCUUCGGGUUGUAAAGCACUUUCAGUCGUGAGGAAGGGUGUAGUUAAUAGCUGCAUUCUUGACGUUAGCGACAGAAGAAGCACCGGCUAACUCCGUGCCAGCAGCCGCGGUAAUACGGAGGGUGCGAGCGUUAAUCGGAAUUACUGGGCGUAAAGCGCAUGCAGGUGGUUUGUUAAGUCAGAUGUGAAAGCCCGGGGCUCAACCUCGGAAUUGCAUUUGAAACUGGCAGACUAGAGUACUGUAGAGGGGGGUAGAAUUUCAGGUGUAGCGGUGAAAUGCGUAGAGAUCUGAAGGAAUACCGGUGGCGAAGGCGGCCCCCUGGACAGAUACUGACACUCAGAUGCGAAAGCGUGGGGAGCAAACAGGAUUAGAUACCCUGGUAGUCCACGCCGUAAACGAUGUCUACUUGGAGGUUGUGGCCUUGAGCCGUGGCUUUCGGAGCUAACGCGUUAAGUAGACCGCCUGGGGAGUACGGUCGCAAGAUUAAAACUCAAAUGAAUUGACGGGGGCCCGCACAAGCGGUGGAGCAUGUGGUUUAAUUCGAUGCAACGCGAAGAACCUUACCUACUCUUGACAUCCAGAGAACUUUCCAGAGAUGGAUUGGUGCCUUCGGGAACUCUGAGACAGGUGCUGCAUGGCUGUCGUCAGCUCGUGUUGUGAAAUGUUGGG